GGGGAUGCGAGCGUUAUCCGGAUUUAUUGGGUUUAAAGGGCGCGUAGGCGGGAUGCCAAGUCAGCGGUAAAAGACUGCAGCUAAACUGUAGCACGCCGUUGAAACUGGUGACCUAGAGAGAAGUCGAGGGAGGCGGAACAAGUGAAGUAGCGGUGAAAUGCUUAGAUAUCACUUGGAACCCCGAUAGCGAAGGCAGCUUCCCAGUCUUUGUCUGACGCUGAUGCGCGAGAGCGUGGGUAGCGAA
Molecule: ribosomal RNA, 244 nt
Filed under: uncultured bacterium
Lineage: Bacteria
Description: partial 16S ribosomal RNA
Rfam family: Bacterial small subunit ribosomal RNA
Source: RNAcentral